RNAcentral lists this long non-coding RNA (1660 nucleotides) under Homo sapiens (human). RNAcentral describes it as "HSALNT0373551". Lineage: Eukaryota; Metazoa; Chordata; Mammalia; Primates; Hominidae. The record is from RNAcentral.
AGACAGUUGAUUAAAUAUCCUUAAAUAUUUGUUUGGUGCAAAGUAAUUGCGAUUUCUGCCAUUAAAAGUAAUUGCAAAAACCACAAGUUAUGUUUGCACCAACCUAAUAGUAAACCUCAUGUAUGGUCUUCCCCAGGGAAUGUUUCUGUUAAUUUCUUUUUCUCCUAAGAAUAGUCCACAUUCUUUUCUUUGUACCUUUAUAAUUUUUGGUUGAAAAUUGGGCAUUUUAAAUACUGCAUUGUGGUAACUCUGAAAAUUAGAUUAUUUCUCCUCCUUAGGGUUUGUUUUUGUGGCUUACAGUCAGUUGUGGUUUCUCAUUUGUUUAAGAACUUUUCUAAAUUAUUUUUUGAGGACUUUAUUGUCUGUUUUAUGUGAUCUCUGAAGUCUCAAUCUUUUUAGCUUGCAGUCAGCUAGUCUUUUGGCAGAGAUUUCCCUAAAUUCUUGGAACAACAAGAACAGCCAAAUAUUAAUAAUAAUAAUACUCUCCUGUUUUUUGCAAAUUGCUCUGUGUUGGGACACUACAAUGCUUAGUUAUGACAUUUACAACUCUGCCUUAGCAUUCACUUCUUAUUUGUGCUCAGCCUAACAGUCAGCUGGACUUGGUACGUCAGUACUUCUCCGGUCUUUUUUGAGCAUGGCUCCUUACUGGGUCAUGUCUUGCUUUCUAGAUUCCCUUUCAUAGGCAGAAGAUUUUUCAAAGCCCUUUUACCCCAAAGUAAUUAUCUCCCCAGUUUUUUUUUUCAUAGAUUUUCAGCACAUACAUUGUCACCAUCUGUAAUCUUUUGCCUCUUUGGGCAGUGGCUUCUUCAUUUACCUUUUAGUGUUUAUGAGGAAUGCCUACACUUAGCUACUUUUUCACCCUAAAAUAGUUCCAAGUUAGCAGAACUAAAGACAAAUGCAUUGUAUCGGUGCCUUAGGGACUUCCCUCUGGAACCCUGUAAUCCAUUUGGGAACACAGGCUGCUAUUUUCAAGAACACAGUCAUCAUGAGGAUGGAGAUGAAUGAGGAAAGCCUAUGUUAAAAUGUGACAAAGUUUUCUUUCCACAUUUAAGCUUCCUUUUUCUUGAUCUAGCAUUUGCUUGGUUUCUGUAAAAUAUCAACUAUCUUACAGAAUUCUAAAAGAGCUAAUUCUAAAAGUUUUUGUUCUUCUUUUGGAUGUUUUUAUGCAGGCUCAGGCCUUUAGAAUUUCCUAUUCUGCUCUUUUCACUGUCAUCUUAUUGAUGACUUCUUAAUAACAAAUCUAGUCUUCUAAUCACUCCAGAAAUCUGAAAAAUAUUUCAUUUAUUGGCCACACUUAUCGUUCAGCCCCCUCUAGCUCUCACAAUAUUGAAAUAUGUGUAUAUAUGAAUUAAAACAAAGGCAUUUCCAUUCCUGCAAAUCAAUGUACUGUAAAUUAAUCUCUAAUUUCCUUUUACACUCAUUUCCUGGACAAUUAAAUCAUUAUCAUUUAUUUCUCUAUGGCAUCUGUUUAUAUCACCCUAAUAAUUCUAGGCUCUGCCUUGAUCAUUUCUUACUCUGUGCCUUUCUGCCUUUUUUCAUUGCUCCUGCUUUCCUUCUUCUUUUUUCAAUUUUCCAUUUCUUUUCCCACAAGUGGUUAUCAAGCUUCUCAUGGAUGUCAAGUAUUACACCAUACUUUAGGGAUUCAGAGAUAAAAUCAGCC